UUGUUGCCCUUUUUUAUUGCUGUAGUUAUUGUUGUUAUCAAUGUCAUCAUUGUUGGAUAGGACAGAGAAUUGGAGAGAGAUGGGAAGACAGAGAGGGGAAGAGAAAGAUAGACACCUGCAGACCUGCUUCAACGCUUGUGAAGCGACUCCCCUGCAGGUCGGGAGCCAGGGGCUUGAACCCGGGAUCCUUACACCGGUUCUUGCGCUUUGUGUCACAUGCACUUAACCUGCUGCACUACUGCCUGACUCCCCGUAUGAUGUUUUUUAAAGAAUAAUAUAACUCUUUUUAGCUGUGCCAGAGAUUAAGCCCAGGGCCAUACCAUGCUUACAUUCAUUCUGCCACAGAGCUAAUCCCAACUCGUGAUUCAUUUUCAAUAGGAGUGAUGCCAGCUAGUACUAGGAGUACUGCUUGCUGUUCAUGCCGUGUGGAUAGGAGAUACCUUAGUUUUCCUACUCAAGAUAAAUUUACACUAAUUCCACCUUUGAAAUAUAAGACAGAGAGAUGUGAUAGGGGAGAGAAUUUUUAGGGAAAGAUGUGAAUAGUUGAACUUGACAUAGUAAUGAAGUUGCUUGGUAAUGUAAACACAAUGUACAUUUAUUCUGUCUACACCUUAAGACACACAAUUUGUAGGAAUUCGUAUACAUUAUAUUCCCUGUGUUGCCUCUGACUGCAAUUGUUCAAAAUGCUUGUUUUUAUUUUAUGCUCCUUUCUCAUCCUCCUUGAGUUUUUAAAAGUCUGUCUAAAGCAAGAGCUAGGAAAGCUGUACAUUGUAAUAGCUGUGGUAAAGCUACAUUGUCAAUCUCUUCAAAGUCUAUUAGAAAAUUAUUUGAAUGAUAAUAAAAAUAAUGGUUUAUAUUA
Erinaceus europaeus (western European hedgehog) is the source of this 859-nucleotide long non-coding RNA. RefSeq lists it as uncharacterized. Lineage: Eukaryota; Metazoa; Chordata; Mammalia; Eulipotyphla; Erinaceidae. The transcript is spliced from 2 exons. The record is from RefSeq and is a predicted model, not a curated record.